Molecule: ribosomal RNA, 305 nt
Filed under: uncultured bacterium
Lineage: Bacteria
Description: partial 16S ribosomal RNA
Rfam family: Bacterial small subunit ribosomal RNA
Source: RNAcentral
ACAGCAGUAGCCGCGGGAAUACAGAGGGUGCGAGCGUUAAUCGGAUUUACUGGGCGUAAAGCGUGCGUAGGCGGCUUCUUAAGUCGGAUGUGAAAUCCCUGAGCUUAACUUAGGAAUUGCAUUUGAUACUGGGAAGCUAGAGUAUGGGAGAGGAUGGUAGAAUUCCAGGUGUAGCGGUGAAAUGCGUAGAGAUCUGGAGGAAUACCGAUGGCGAAGGCAGCCAUCUGGCCUAAUACUGACGCUGAGGUACGAAAGCAUGGGGAGCAAACAGGAUUAGAUACCCCAGUAGUCCCUGUCUCUUAUAC